GUUCGUAGUGACCUGCGGAGGAUCAUUAUUGAAUGUUAAGAAGUUGUAGCUGACCUGUUAAAGGGUAUGUGCUCGCUUCUUUCAAUCUCUUACCACCUGUGCACCUUUUGUAGUCUUGGAUACAUUU
This 127-nucleotide ribosomal RNA is filed under the name Typhula sp. 1043. RNAcentral's name for it is "partial 18S ribosomal RNA". The record is from RNAcentral. Lineage: Eukaryota; Fungi; Basidiomycota; Agaricomycetes; Agaricales; Typhulaceae.